GGGUAACGCUGGCGGCGUGCCUAAAACAUGCAAGUCGAACGCGUCCUUCGGGUACGAGUGGCAGACGGCUGAGUAACGCGUGGGUGACAUACCCAUUGGUGGGGAAUAACUGCCCGAAAGGGUGGCUAAUUCCGCAUACGUCCUCCUUUUCGUUGAGGAGGGGAAAGCAGCAAUGCGCCGAUGGACUGGCCCGCGUUCGAUUAGCUCGUUGGUGGGGUAACGGCCUACCAAGGCGACGAUCGAUAGCUGGUCUCAGAGGAUGAUCAGCCAGACUGGGACUGAGACACGGCCCAGACUCCUACGGGAGGCAGCAGUUAGGAAUUUUGGGCAAUGGGCGAAAGCCUGACCCAGCAACGCCGCGUGGGCGAUGAAGGCCUUCGGGUUGUAAAGCCCUUUUGCAGGGGAAGAUGAUGACGGUACCCUGCGAAUAAGCCACGGCUAACUACGUGCCAGCAGCCGCGGUAAUACGUAGGUGGCGAGCGUUGUCCGGAUUUACUGGGCGUAAAGGGCGUGCAGGCGGCCUGCUAAGUCUAGGGUGAAAGCUCCCGGCUCAACUGGGAGAGGUCCUUGGAUACUGGCGGGCUUGAGGGAGGUAGAGGAGAAUGGAAUUCCCGGUGUAGUGGUGAUAUGCGUAGAUAUCGGGAGGAACACCUGUGGCGAAGGCGGUUCUCUGGGCCUUACCUGACGCUGAGACGCGAAAGCGUGGGGAGCGAACCGGAUUAGAUACCCGGGUAGUCCACGCCGUAAACUAUGGACACUAGGUGUGGGGGGUAUCGACCCCUUCCGUGCCGAAGCUAACGCAAUAAGUGUCCCGCCUGGGGAGUACGGCCGCAAGGCUAAAACUCAAAGGAAUUGACGGGGGCCCGCACAAGCAGCGGAGCGUGCGGUUUAAUUCGUCGCAACGCGAAGAACCUUACCAAGGCUUGACAUGCUAGUGGUACUGAUCCGAAAGGUGAGGGACCCUUCGGGGAGCUAGCACAGGUGCUGCAUGGCUGUUGUCAGCUCGUGCCGUGAGGUGUUGGGUUAAGUCCCGCAACGAGCGCAACCCCUGUUGCCAGUUGUAUUCUCUGGCGAGACUGCCCCGUAAAGCGGGGAGGAAGGCGGGGAUGACUUCAAGUCAGCACGGCCCUUACGUCUUGGGCCACUCGCACGCUACAAUGGCCGGUCCAAUAGGUUGCCAAGGAGCGAUCCGGAGCUAAUCCCUAAAGCCGGCCUCAGUUCAGAUUGCAGGCUGAAACCCGCCUGCAUGAAGGCGGAGUUGC
Molecule: ribosomal RNA, 1262 nt
Filed under: uncultured bacterium
Lineage: Bacteria
Description: bacterial SSU rRNA
Rfam family: Bacterial small subunit ribosomal RNA
Source: RNAcentral